This 89-nucleotide ribosomal RNA is filed under the name Vibrio alginolyticus. Its description in RNAcentral is "partial 16S ribosomal RNA". The stretch from base 1 to 80 matches the Rfam family "Bacterial small subunit ribosomal RNA", at positions 1454 to 1533 of the family's 1533-position model. Lineage: Bacteria; Pseudomonadati; Pseudomonadota; Gammaproteobacteria; Vibrionales; Vibrionaceae. The record is from RNAcentral. RNAcentral also lists the same sequence under 2 other names.
UUACCACUUUGUGGUUCAUGACUGGGGUGAAGUCGUAACAAGGUAGCGCUAGGGGAACCUGGCGCUGGAUCACCUCCUUAAACGAUGAU